GGUGGUAGCUCAGUCGGGUAAGCGCCCGCUUCUCACGCAAGAGAUGCGGGUUCGAAUCCCGGCAGACCU
Molecule: transfer RNA, 69 nt
Filed under: Plutella xylostella (diamondback moth)
Lineage: Eukaryota; Metazoa; Arthropoda; Insecta; Lepidoptera; Plutellidae
Description: tRNA-Glu
Source: RNAcentral